GAUGAAGAACGCAGCAAAAUGCGAUAAGUAAUGUGAAUUGCAGAAUUCAGUGAAUCAUCGAAUCUUUGAACGCACAUUGCGCCCGCUGGUAUUCCGGCGGGCAUGCCUGUUCGAGCGUCAUUUCAACCCUCAAGCCCCCGGGUUUGGUGUUGGGGAUCGGCUCUGCCCUUCUGGGCGGUGCCGCCCCCGAAAUACAUUGGCGGUCUCGCUGCAGCCUCCAUUGCGUAGUAGCUAAUACCUCGCAACUGGAACGCGGCGCGGCCAUGCCGUAAAACCCCAACUUCUGAAUGUUGACCUCGGAUCAGGUAGGAAUACCCGCUGAACUUAAGCAUAUCAAUAAGCGGAGGA
Molecule: unclassified non-coding RNA, 348 nt
Filed under: soil metagenome
Description: partial contains 5.8S ribosomal RNA, internal transcribed spacer 2, and large subunit ribosomal RNA
Rfam family: 5.8S ribosomal RNA (bases 1-120)
Source: RNAcentral